GAGGAUAGCUCAAUUGGUAGAGCAUGAGACUCUUAAUCUCAAGGCUGUGAGUUCAAGCCCCACAUCUAGUCCAACA
This 76-nucleotide transfer RNA is filed under the name Podarcis lilfordi (Lilford's wall lizard). RNAcentral describes it as "tRNA.Lys". The stretch from base 3 to 68 matches the Rfam family "tRNA". Rfam says of the family: Transfer RNA (tRNA) molecules are approximately 80 nucleotides in length. Their secondary structure includes four short double-helical elements and three loops (D, anti-codon, and T loops). Further hydrogen bonds mediate the characteristic L-shaped molecular structure. tRNAs have two regions of fundamental functional importance: the anti-codon, which is responsible for specific mRNA codon recognition, and the 3' end, to which the tRNAs corresponding amino acid is attached (by aminoacyl-tRNA synthetases). tRNAs cope with the degeneracy of the genetic code in two manners: having more than one tRNA (with a specific anti-codon) for a particular amino acid; and 'wobble' base-pairing, i.e. permitting non-standard base-pairing at the 3rd anti-codon position. Lineage: Eukaryota; Metazoa; Chordata; Lepidosauria; Squamata; Lacertidae. The record is from RNAcentral.